Long non-coding RNA from Apteryx owenii (little spotted kiwi), 628 nucleotides. Lineage: Eukaryota; Metazoa; Chordata; Aves; Apterygiformes; Apterygidae. The record is from Ensembl.
UCUGUGUCAAUGUGACUUUGCAAGCUUUUCUAAUUUUUCAGCAACUUCCUGCCAGCUGUAGUACUGAUUCCUCUCCAGCUGAAAUAUAAGAAAUGUUGCUGCAGCCAACAAACUAAGCUAUUUCAGAAUAUUCUGUUCCAUCCAGGAUUUGUGCUUUGGCAUACUGCUUGACUGAACAUCUUCAAUCCUUGAAGGUUAUCCUUGCAUUCUUUAGUAAACUGAAUACCUUAGGGGAUGGGAGACAGUAUGGCUGAGCAGUGAAGAGAGGAGAUAAGGAGUUGGAAAAGUUGGUUCCUUCUGGGUAUUCUGCCACUGUUAUUAGGCAUCCUUUGCAGGAUGAACAAGUGGAGCAGAAUUGUUACCUGGCUGGAGAGAAAAGCUUCACAGAACUGGGUACAGACAGCAAACCUGCAAGGUUCUGAUGAUAUUAUGCCCCUGGAAAUACAGAAAUUUACCCAAAGACCUGUGUUAUCAGAGCUGAACUUGGGGCAGAGAACAAGCUAAACAAACCUAACAAUUUUGCCAAAUGUGAGUGCUCCAAUAGAAAUAUUUGUCAGUGUUUUUUGGAGGGAUACCAAUAUCCUGCAGAAUCUUCAAACAAAACUCCUCAAAUAAUUGUGACAUGGAG